This 480-nucleotide ribosomal RNA is filed under the name uncultured bacterium. RNAcentral describes it as "partial 16S ribosomal RNA". It matches the Rfam family "Bacterial small subunit ribosomal RNA", at positions 28 to 523 of the family's 1533-position model. The record is from RNAcentral.
GACGAACGCUGGCGGCGUGCCUAACACAUGCAAGUCGAGCGAGGGGAGUUUCUUCGGAAACAAACCUAGCGGCGGACGGGUGAGUAACACGUGGGCAACCUGCCUUAUAGAGGGGAAUAGCCUUCCGAAAGGAAGAUUAAUACCGCAUAACAUUGAAGCUUCGCAUGAAGCCAUAAUUAAAGGAGCAAUCCGCUAUAAGAUGGGCCCGCGGCGCAUUAGCUAGUUGGUGAGGUAACGGCUCACCAAGGCGACGAUGCGUAGCCGACCUGAGAGGGUGAUCGGCCACAUUGGGACUGAGACACGGCCCAGACUCCUACGGGAGGCAGCAGUGGGGAAUAUUGCACAAUGGGGGAAACCCUGAUGCAGCAACGCCGCGUGAGUGAUGAGGGUUUUCGGAUCGUAAAACUCUGUCUUCGGGGACGAUAAUGACGGUACCCGAGGAGGAAGCCACGGCUAACUACGUGCCAGCCGCCGCAGUAA